GAUGAACGCUGGCGGCGUGCCUAAUACAUGCAAGUCGAGCGAACAGACGAGGAGCUUGCUCCGCUGACGUGAGCGGCGGACGGGAGAGUAACACGUGUAUAACCUACCUAUAAGACUGGGAUAACUUCGGGAAACCGGAGCUAAUACCGUAUAAUAUAUUGAACCGCGUGGUGGAAUAGUGAAAGACGGUUGUGCGGUCUCGUAUAGAUGGAUCCGGGCCGCAUUAGCUAGUUGGUAAGUUAACAGCUUAUCAAGGCAACGAUGCGUAGGCGACGGGUGAGAGUGAUCGGCCACAUGGGAGCUGGGCCACGCUCCAGACUACUGAGGGAGGGCGCAGACGGGAAUGUGACGCAGUGGGCGAAAACAUGGCAGAGCAGCGGGGAGUGAGUGAUGACGGCCUUGGGAUCGUAAAGCUCUGUUAUGAGGGAAGAACAACUGUGUACGUAAAUAUGCACGUCUUGACGGUAACUAAUAAGAAAGCCACGGCUAACUACGUG
This 497-nucleotide ribosomal RNA is filed under the name uncultured bacterium. RNAcentral describes it as "partial 16S ribosomal RNA". It matches the Rfam family "Bacterial small subunit ribosomal RNA", at positions 28 to 507 of the family's 1533-position model. The record is from RNAcentral.